CCUCAGAGCUUUUGGGAAGCUAUACGUUCCUGGCCCCGAGGUAAAGCUCCCACAGGCUGCUUGACCCAACAGAGCAGCUCCUACCCACUGGGAUUCUCGGUCUGCAGGAAUCUGGCAUCCACCUGGGAAUCUCAGCCUCUCCCCUAAACCAGAACAGACUCACAGAGUGACCCAGUGGAAGGGGCCUCAGAAGACAUCCAGUUGAGUCUCUUCCGUCACUGAACAGAUGAGGAAACUGAGGCUCAAAGGGAAACGUCCCCAUGGCAGGGAGCAUCUGGCUGAGGCAGCCUGGAGACAGGCACGCACCAGAAGACUUCUGGUUCCAUCCAGGCCCAAGGACCACUGAACUGGAGCGGUCUUCUCCAUCCCCCAGCAAGCCUGUGCGUGAGCUGGGGACAAGGGGCAGAGGAGGCAGAGGUCCCCCUCACACCAGGAAGGGAACAGCGCCACUAAAGGGCCUGGUGGAGGCAGGGUGGAGGUGGAAGGAGACUCAGCAGAAGGGGUGAG
RNAcentral lists this long non-coding RNA (507 nucleotides) under Homo sapiens (human). RNAcentral's name for it is "HSALNT0188805". The record is from RNAcentral. Lineage: Eukaryota; Metazoa; Chordata; Mammalia; Primates; Hominidae.